This 17542-nucleotide long non-coding RNA is filed under the name Ananas comosus (pineapple). RNAcentral's name for it is "long non-coding RNA (ACOM_LNC038023)". Lineage: Eukaryota; Viridiplantae; Streptophyta; Magnoliopsida; Poales; Bromeliaceae. The record is from RNAcentral.
AACAAUAUUAGACUACUCAGUUGCGCCUAACGUAUAACUUUGAACGAGUACUUUAUUCUCAUCUAUCGGGAACAAAGAGUAAAAGCUAAUAUCUAUUGUUCUAUUAUGCACCUGAGAAUGUAAAUUGGAACGAAGUGAUGUCUAUUUUCAGGGAAGAUAGAAAACUGGAACAACAUUAGCUACUCAGUUGCGCAGCUAACGUAUAAAAUUUUGCAAGCGAGUACUUUUUCUCAUUCAAUCGAACAAAGGGAGUAAAGCUAAUUAUAUUGUUUCGUAUUAUGCCCCGAGAUUGCAUAAUUCUAGAACGAACGAUGUUUCAACGUUGAAAAGACACCAGAACUCCAAAACCACUAUUAGACUACUUCAGUUGCCCCCUAACAGUAUAACUUUGCAACGAGGUCUUUUUUCAUUCAAUCGAACCAAAGGAGUAAACGUAAUUAUAUUGGGUCUAUAUAUUCCGCCAGAGAGUGUUAAUUUAGAACGGAAUCGACUGUCGAAUGGUUGACAAGAACCAAAACGGAAACAACAUUAGACUACUCUGUUGCGCGCUAACAGUAUAACUUUGCAACGAUAUACUUUUCUCAUCAAUCGAAAAAGAGUAAAAGCUAAUUAUACUCGUUCGAUAUGCCUCUGGACUGUAAAUUUGGAACAAAUCGUUCUUCACCUUCAAAGAACCAAAAAUCGGAACAACAUUAGACUUCGAGUUGGCCGCCAAACGGGCAAAAUUUGCAACGAGUAACUUUUUCUCAUUCAAUCGAACAUAAGAGUAAAAGCUUACAUUAAAUUGGUUCUAUUAAUGCCUCGAGAGUGUAAACUUUGGAAAGAUAUGGAUGUCAACGUUGAACAAGAACAAAAAGCCGGAACAACUUAGAUUACUCAGUUGCGCCCUUAACAGUAUAACUUUGCAACGGAGUAGACUUUUUGUCUCAUUUCAAUCGAACAAGUGUAAAAGCUACAAUUAUAUUGUUCUAUUAUUCCUCCGAGAUUGUUACUUAAACGAUCGUUUUCAACCUUCACAAGAAUCAAACACACGGAAACAUCUAUGACUGCUUAGUUGCGCACCUAACGUAAUUAAAUUUGCAACGAGUACUUUUUCUCAUUCAAUCGAAUUAGAGAGCAAAAGUUUAAUCUAUAUUGUUCCUUUAAUGGGCCAGUCCGGGAGGGUAAAUUGGAACGAAUCGUUGUCAACCCUUCACAAGAAACCAAAACCGGAACCAAUAUUAGACUACUCAGUUGCGCUCCUAACAGUAUAACUUCGCAACGAGUACUUUUUCUCAUUAAUCGAACAAAGAGUAAAAGCUAAUUAUCUUAAUCUUUAUGCCAGGAUUGUUAACUUUAGACGAAUCGCCUGUUCCAAUGUUCACACGAACAACAAGGCCGGAACAACAUUAGACUUACUCAGUUGCGCACCCUAACAUAUAACCUUUGCAACCAUACUUACAUCUCUCCCUCAUUCUAUCGAACAUAAGAGUAAAAGCUGAACUGAAUAUAUUGUUCUACUACUGCCUCAGGAGAGUGUAAAUUUGGAACGGGAUCGAAUGCACCUUCACAAGAAUCAAAACCGGGACAACAUUAGACAAGUCAGUUGUGCCUAAUUAGUAUAAAUGUUUGUACGAGUACUUUUUCUCAUUACAAAUCUAAAAAAGAGUAAAAUCUUAAUUAAUAUAUUCUUAUUAUGCCAGCGAGAGUGCUAAAUUUGGAACAAAAAUUAUGGUCCAACCUUCACAAGAACCAAAAAACCGGAACAACAUUUAGACACUCAGUUGCGCCCGUAACCGGAUAUACUUUGAACGAGUACUUUUUCUCAAUCAAUCGACAAAAGAGUAAAACCUAUAAUUAUAAUAUGAUUCUAUAUGGCCGCCGGAGAGUGUAAAUUUGGAACAAAUUUGAUGUCAAACCUGUUCACAAGAACAAAAACCGGAACAAAUUAGAAAACUCAGUUGCGCCAUAACAGUAUAAGCUUUGCAACGAAGUACUUUUUUCAAAAUCAAUCGAACAAAGAGUAAAAAGCUAAUUCUAUUGUUCUAUGUUAUGCACUUGAGAAUGUAAAUUCGGAACAAGCGAGUGUCGUAUUUUCAGAAGAUAGACAAACUGGAACCAACAGUAGUUGUCACUGCCCGAGACCGCUCCCGAAAUUUUUGGUCCGGUUCGCGGGGCACCGCGACAGCCGCCGAACGGACGCGUUUCCCCUGUCGCGGAACAGGAGAGCUCCCCUGGUACGUUCCUAGGGCGUCGCCAAUCCAAAACAAGUGUCACAUUACAAAAGAUUCCAGACCAGGGAACAGUACUCAGCAAACAGAAUUGCAAUCAGGAACGGUAUCAGAUCCAACAGUUAAAAACACAAUACCUAAUGAUAUUUACGACAGCAUUCACAUUACGAUGCACAUUCAUUACAUUCAACUUCCUGAAUACCAAUUAAGUUAUUAAACAUUUAUUUUUUACAGACAUUGAUAAUUUUGCUGUGCUUUUUUUCUAUACCUAAGCUAGUCGACGCCGGGGUGCUGGCGAGCUCUGGCCUCUGGGGUAGGGCGCCUAUCUAAUGGGAGUACGCCCUUGCCAUCGGCGCCGCCGCGCCGCUCACGUCGCGAACCUUUAAACCCCAAAGAACAGGCGUGGGGGUGGAACCAACUCCAUGGGGUUUCCCAGUGCGGUUAAGCCACCCGAAGGGAGGAGCGUCGAACAACAGGUCCAAGGGAAGGCAAAUACAAGUUAGGUCCAAUAAGACAGAUAGAUAAAUGUAUACUCAUAAUAUUCAUGCAACUAACUAUUACACUUGGCGUUGUUGCCUCACAACUGCAAUGAUGCAUGCUAUUACCUGGCAACCAGGAACGGUUGGAACGCUGCGCCUAGUGAGAUGAUUAUGUUGAUUCUGACGAUUCAAUCUCGCUAAUCUUAAGCUCAUGUCAUCCAACUCUAAGGUGUUCCCGCUAACUGCUAGGUUAACAAUCUACCACUAGCCUCAAGGUUCUAUUCUACCUUAUUCCGUCAAGCCACCCGACUCGCCUCGAGUCCAAUCAACAGGGAUAAAUCCGCGCUCUGGCCCGGGCUCGAGGUGAGCAGGAAUCCUGUCGCAUUGCACCUCAGCCUGCAAGCCAAAGAAAGCCACCAUCGGCCAACGGUCCGCUGCCGAAGGGUCCGUGCACCGUGGUCAGGGAUUCGCGCCAGUGGGAGAAGGAAACAUAGCCACGUACACCCAUAGCUCUGAGAUCCCCGACUAACGGGAGAGGAGGAAUAUGCCACGUUCCACCCUAGGCGCAUCUCCCUAUUCAUUGCUUAGUCUAUAUUCCUCAAGUAGUUCUUUCCGGUGGGAAAGAGGAACAUCGCGGCAUUACACCGCCGGUCCAGAACUAUAUGAGUUCACUCCGAGUACUGAGAUUCCGGAUAUCGACUCCACAAGUCCGCAAGGGUCCAUAUCCACGCCUAAUACUCAUUGAACCCUAUCUUCGGGUCCAAUGCACUUUCCACCUAGUUCCAACUGCACUCUAGGAUCUUAAUUGCCUCCAUUUCACAACUAGUUUACUUUAACUCUAGGUUCCAUUCGUCGACCUAAUGUCUCUUUAACCACUAGGUAGACUGCCUGAAGCACUGAGAAUCGCCGACUCUUAGGAUUCAUACUCAACCUAUGUUCUUUAACACUAGGUUAGGUGACCCACUCGUUAUUUUAUCCUAGUUUAAAUACUCUAGAUGUCGAUGUAUCUAUGCCGACCUUGAUGUUAUGUAACCACUAGGGUUAAUGCCAACUCGAUCUACUUGAUGUCCUUACUUGUACUUAUCAAGGUAUUCUACAGUUCAUCACUAAUUAAUAUUUAGUAUCAACUACCAUGCAUCAUCUUGCAGUUUUAUCACAUGGACAAUGCACUUCUUAACAUUAUGUAUUAUGUCUAUCAUGGCCUCUCCUAGCAUCAUGUACCAUGCAAUUCAGCUAGACAAUGAGUAUUCUACAGCAUACUUAAUAUUCCAUGUAUUAUGGCACUAUAUUUCUCAUUACGUCACUAUGCAUUAAUCUAUUAUUGGCCUCAUUUACAUUCAUUAUGCACUCAACGGCUGGAUUCUUAAUCAUCUUAGACAUAAAGGGCGACCUAGCGCAUCAUCGGUAAACACAACCCCACCUUAAACUUCGCCGUUCCGGAGCUUGCUCGUCGACCUCGACACUUGCAAUCGGCCUCCCGCGGCACUCGGCACCCGUUUGGGCCCGAUCUCACAGUUGCUCUCCAAGAGCGGGUCGCUUCGCCGUUUCAAGUGCUAACGAUCUUCGCCGUUAUGAUGCUCGGGACCCAAUUUCACAAUUCAUGGACGUCGCCUCGGCCUUCCAGGCGGAAACGAAGCUCCAAGCGUCCGUUUCUUCAAUAUCUUUGCAACAGCUCGUCGGAUUGCCGAAUCGUCUUCGCCAACGUGUUUCGUUACGUAUCAAUUAGGUUUACGAAGGGUCAAUUGAGAUCAAACCCCACUAUUUCUUAAAACCCCAUUUUGAGCCCUAGUUUGCGACUACGGCAAAAUACUCCAAAUAAAUCUCUAGAUUCAUGCAUUAAUCUACUCAUAAGCAUGCUAGGAUUCCAUCUAAACCAUUCUUAGAGUGUAUUAACCAAACCCUAAGAAAUCACCAUUAAAGAGCUUCCAAGAAGCUUACCUCCUAAAGCCUCUCCAAGCACAAGGAAGGAAUGAAGAAGAUGGAAAGCUCUUCCUCUUCUUCUUCUUCUUCUUCUUCCUCUUCUCCUUCUUCUUCUUCUUCUUUUCUUCUAUUUCGUUUAGAGAGAGAGAGGGGUGGCGUUGGGGUUGAAACGGUGAGGGAAAGAGAGAGAGAGAGGUUCUACUCCUCUCUAUACACUUAACCCAUGCAACAUUUGCAGGAAAACCCCUCAACAAAGCCACUCUUGCAACAGCCCGAACUGGGCAUUUUCGGGGUUCGGGAACCGGUCUCUACAUGAGGGACCAGUCUCUGAGAGACCGGUCUCCCUACCUGGGACCGGUCCCAGAGAGACCUCCAGCCGAGACUUAGCCAAUUUUCAGCUUCGUCCGUUUUCGCUCCGUUUUCGCCCGUUUUCGUUCAUUUGACCUCCGAUUCGUCUCAAAUCGAACCGAGACUCUCCAAACAUGUUUUCAAACAUGUUUUCAUCAUCUUUCCAUCCUCGCUAAUGCCGGAUUUAGCUCACAGCCCAAUUUAGCCUUUCGGGUCCCGUUUCCGCGCCUACGCGCACCGAAACGCUCGAUAGCUCCCGAACUUCACCGAACUUCACCGAAACCAUUCAAAUGGCUCUCUAAUCGAAUGUACACCAUAACUCAAUAGUUUUAGAAGUCCGGUACCUUACAAGUAGACUACACAGUUGCGCCCUAACAGUAUAAAUUUGCAACGAGUACUUUUUCUCAUUCAAUCGAAUAAAGAGUAAAAGCUAAUUAUAUUGUUCUAUUAUGCCCCGAGAUUGUUAAUUUAGAACGAAUCGAUGUCAACGUUGAAAAGAACCAAAUCCGGAACAACAUUAGACUACUCAGUUGCGCCCUAACAAUAUAACUUCGCAACGAGUACUUUUUCUCAUUCAAUCGAACAAAGAGUAAAAGCUAAUUAUAUUGGUCUAUUAUGCUCCGAGAGUGUUAAUUUUGAACGAAUCGAUGUCAAUGUUGACAAGAACCAAAAUCGGAACAAUAUUAGACUACUCAGUUGCGCCCUAACAGUAUAACAUUGCAACGAGUACUUUUUCUCAUUCAAUCGAAAAAAGUAUAAAAGCUAAUUAUAUCGUUCUAUUAUGCCUCUGGAGUGUAAAUUUGGAACAAAUCGUUGUCAACCUUCACAAGAACCAAAACCGGAACAACAUUAGACUUCUCAGUUGCGCCCUAGACAGCAUAAACUUCGCAUAACGAUACACUUUUUUCUCAUCCAAUCGAACAAAAGUAAAAGCUUAAAUGUUCUAAUCCGUCGAGAGGUAAAUUUGAGAAAUAAUCAUGUCGAACGUUGACAAGAACAAACGAACACAUUGACUACUCAUUGUCGCCCUAACAUAUAACUUUGCAACGAUACUUUUCUCAAAUGUCAAUCGAACAAAGAGUAAAAGCUAAUUAUAUUUUACUAUAUGCCUCGAAUUGUACUUAAAAAAUCGUUCACCUUCACAAAACGUCUAAGACCGAGACAACAUUAGAUCCUGCUUAUAUCGCUCCUAGAACAGAUAACUUUGCAGACCAGUACUUUUCGCAUUCUACUCGAACAAAGAGAAAAGCUAAUUAUAAGUCCUAUCUAUGCCUCGAGAAGUUGAAAUUGAACGCUAAUCGAUUCAACCUUAAAAAAAAUCAACCGAACAAACAUUAACUAUCAGUUGUGCCCUAAAAAUAGUUUAAAUUGUUACAUACUUUUCUCAUCAACAAAAAAAAGAGUAAACUAAUUCAUAUUAUCCUAUUAUGCCCCGAGAGUGUAAAUUUGAAACAAAUUGAUGAACAACUCUUCACAAGACCAAAACCGAACAACAUUAGACCCACCCAGUUGCGCCUAACAAAAACUUUGCACGAUACUUUCCUCAUCCAAUCGAACAAAUAUAAACCCGUAAAUAGAGCCUAUUAUCCCGAGAGUGUAAAUGACCAAAUUGAUGUCAACCAUUACACAAAACCAAAAUCGUAACAACAUAACCACUCAUGCGCCUAACAUAUAACUUUGGCAACGAGUACCUUUUCUCAAUCAAUCGACAAAAGAUUAAAAGCCUAAUUCUAUUGUCUAAUAAUGCUCUGGAGCAAGUAAUGGUAAGUAAGCGGAUGCUUAUGUUCAGAAGUAUAAAAACUGAAUCAGACAUUAGACUACUCAGUCCCCCUAUAACGAUAGAAUUUGCAACGAGUACUUUUCCCAUUCACAUCGAACAAAGAAAUUCCUAUUACCUAUGAAAUUAUGGAAAACAAUUGAUGUCAACCUUACAUAAGAACCAUUGCCUAAAACCGGAAACAACAAAGACACCAGUUCGCCCUAAACACAGUAUAUGACUUUGCAACGAUACCGCCUUUCCAUCAAUCGAAUAAAGAUGUAAAACCUAAUAUAUGUGAUUCUGCCCCGAAUGCAAAUGGUUUAAGAACGAAUCGAUGUCAACGGUUGACAAGAUACCAAAACAGAACAACAUUGACUAGCUCACGGCGCCCUAAACAUUAUAACCUUGCAACGAGUACCGUUCUGUCAUAUCGAGACAAAGAGUAAAAUACUAAUUAUAUGUCUAGUUAUGCCCAGAAAUUGUAUUUACGCAACAAUCGAUUUUCAACGGAAAAAACCAAAACCGAACAUCACAUUGACUACUCAGUUCGCAUAAACAGUAUAACUUUACAACGAUACCUUCUCAUCAAUCGCAACAAAGGCGAUAAAGCUUUAAUUUUAUAGUUGCCUAUUAUCCCACAGUGUUAAUUUAGAACACGUAAUAGAUGUCCAAUAUUCGACAAAACUGCAAAAUCCGAACAACGUAGACACUUAUUGCGCCUAUCCAGUAUAGGUACUUUUCGAGAUAUGUCACGCCCAACCGCAUAACUAACCGAAAACAGUGCCAUUUGGUCAUUUCGAGGGCAGCGUGCGUGAUGCGGAACAGGACUGCAGUCCGUCGCUCUCGCCCAGGCUAAGCAACCUGAAUUGUGGUACAACAAGUCACCCAAGGAAAAACAACUUGCAGCAUACAAAUCAGCUACGAAAACGAAAGCACAAACAGAUGCUACAACCAACUAAGCAAGCGAUACAAUUAAACCAUAUCAAGAUAAAAAGAAGAAACGUUAAACUAUUGAAACAUUAUUGAAACAUUAACCUUUCGGAUAUCAUUAAACAUUUAAUCCUUAAUACAAAUCGGCAUCCUUCCCCAAAAUAAAUAUAACUCAAACUCCCAAAACUCACCCUAUACCAACAUCUACUCUCAUAGUGAACAAAAAGUACAGGUAGAGCAAUGCGAGUAAAAAUAAAAAUAACUACCAACCGCCACCCUUGCGCUAAGCCUUGCUCGCAUCCUCCAGCUCAUCGGGCGCCUUCCGAGCUAGUACCUCAACGAGGGUUAAACUACGAGAGUGCGCCAGUGGAUUCGUCCACAGCCGACUUGUGCAGGCUUGCCGCCAGAUUCUACUGCACAGAUUCUUUAAGCAGCAUAGAGAAUAUAUAUUAGUAAUAUCAUACUAAACUAAAACUGAACUAAACAGGUAAUGGAACGUAAUAUCACUAUCUCAAUCUAUAUCAUGAUGCAGAAGAAUAAUAAACUGGUAUUAACAUCUAGUAACAUCUAUCAACAGCUAUCAUAGUAACUAUAAUCUAAUCGACAGGAAGCAAAGGUAACAAAGAACAAUGAAAUAGCUACUAUAAUACAAUUAUGUAAACCAAUGGGUAACCCAUCUCGCAAGUAUAGCAAAUUAAACACAUAGGUCCACAACCAAAGCUUCACAUGAACCUCCGAGGGAAUGCCUACUGACAAUCCCAUAACCUGUGGAUAACAAGUCGGCAUCCGACUGCAGCAAGCUCGCUCCUGUCUAGUGACCCCCCUAACUCCGGAGCGCACGAACUUGAAGCGGACAAACCCAACCUACGCAAAGACAGGCAAGUGAGCAUGAUCAAGCUCCACGACAUAAACCUUUAGGGAAUAUACAAUACAUCAAUAACUCUUGACCCACUCAAUAUCCAACCAACACUAAUCUAGAUCAUCUCAAUAAACAAUCAAAACAUUGCCACUCCGUCAUAGUUUCUAAAGAUGCCACUCGUUCUUUAAACCAUCAACAAUAGUAAUCUAAACAUUAUAAGGUCUAAUCAUCUCAAUAGUUUGAAAAUCUCAUAAUUAAACUCGAAUCAUAUUAAUCCAUGCAUACAUUUAUAAAUCAUUCAAUCAACCAUAUCAUAGCUAAUAGCAGCAAAUGAAGCAAUAAAUUAAUCUUAACACCUAUAAGAACAUGUACAAUAUCAAUUCUGAUCAAUAUUUACAUACUAACUAGCCCUAUACUUCGAUGAGCACUCCCCCACCUUAGGUUAUCCGAAAACACUCCGAGACCGCUCUCGUCUAGCUCUGUCGCCGCGCUUAAUUUUGUUGGAUAGCAUUAAACCCUAAAAGCCACUUCGCAAAAAUAGGAUAUCUUCGCCGCGAUUUCGUAUCGACUAAUACCGCUUUCGUUCCUACGCAUUUAUCAAGGCAUAAAAAAUUAGGUUCAACCCCUCAAAAGAUCAACCCUAAUAUUAGCAAAAUUCCAAAAUCAAGCCCUAGUUUAGCACCCAUGGAAGGCAUGGGUCUAGCUUCAUUGUGAGCUAAACCAAUAUCUCUAAGCUCAUUAGUUCCAUUGAACCAUUUAAAUACGCAACCAAGACUCUCAUAAAACAACCCAAGAUACCAUGAAAGAGUUGAGGCUUACCUCUAGGUUUGCUCCAAAGCAAGCCUAACCAAGAAUGAAGGAGACGAAAAGAGCGUUCUUUCGUCUUCUCCUUGCUUUCUUAUUUCCUCCUUCCUUCCUUUUUCCUCCUCUUCUCUCUUCUCCUUCUUCUUCCGUUAGAAGAAGAGCAUGAGAGGAAAGAGCUGAUGAGUGAGAGGAAUGGCCGAGAAAGGAGGGUUAAGUCCUCUAUGUAAUAUAAGNNNNNNNNNNNNNNNNNNNNNNNNNCGACAACAUUAGACUACUCAGUUGCGCCCUAACAGUAUAACUUUGCAGGAGUACCUUUUUUCUCAUUCAAUCAAUAAAGUGUAAAAGCUAAUUAUAUUGUUCUAUUAUUCCUCGAGAUUGUUAACUUAGAACGAAUCGUUUUCAACCUUCACAAAGAACCAAGACGGAAAAACAUUAGACUGCUUAGUUGCGCCCACUAACAGUAUAAAAAAAAAUUGAUGCAACGUGUACUUUCUUCGUCAUUCAAUCGAAUUGAGAGCAAAAGCUAAUUAUAUUGUUCCUUUAAGCCUACGCGAGGGUAAAAUUGGAACUAAUCUUUGUCGAACCUUCACAAGCAACCAAAACCGGAACAAUAUUAGACUACUCAGUUGCGCCUAACGUAUAACUUUGAACGAGUACUUUAUUCUCAUCUAUCGGGAACAAAGAGUAAAAGCUAAUAUCUAUUGUUCUAUUAUGCACCUGAGAAUGUAAAUUGGAACGAAGUGAUGUCUAUUUUCAGGGAAGAUAGAAAACUGGAACAACAUUAGCUACUCAGUUGCGCAGCUAACGUAUAAAAUUUUGCAAGCGAGUACUUUUUCUCAUUCAAUCGAACAAAGGGAGUAAAGCUAAUUAUAUUGUUUCGUAUUAUGCCCCGAGAUUGCAUAAUUCUAGAACGAACGAUGUUUCAACGUUGAAAAGACACCAGAACUCCAAAACCACUAUUAGACUACUUCAGUUGCCCCCUAACAGUAUAACUUUGCAACGAGGUCUUUUUUCAUUCAAUCGAACCAAAGGAGUAAACGUAAUUAUAUUGGGUCUAUAUAUUCCGCCAGAGAGUGUUAAUUUAGAACGGAAUCGACUGUCGAAUGGUUGACAAGAACCAAAACGGAAACAACAUUAGACUACUCUGUUGCGCGCUAACAGUAUAACUUUGCAACGAUAUACUUUUCUCAUCAAUCGAAAAAGAGUAAAAGCUAAUUAUACUCGUUCGAUAUGCCUCUGGACUGUAAAUUUGGAACAAAUCGUUCUUCACCUUCAAAGAACCAAAAAUCGGAACAACAUUAGACUUCGAGUUGGCCGCCAAACGGGCAAAAUUUGCAACGAGUAACUUUUUCUCAUUCAAUCGAACAUAAGAGUAAAAGCUUACAUUAAAUUGGUUCUAUUAAUGCCUCGAGAGUGUAAACUUUGGAAAGAUAUGGAUGUCAACGUUGAACAAGAACAAAAAGCCGGAACAACUUAGAUUACUCAGUUGCGCCCUUAACAGUAUAACUUUGCAACGGAGUAGACUUUUUGUCUCAUUUCAAUCGAACAAGUGUAAAAGCUACAAUUAUAUUGUUCUAUUAUUCCUCCGAGAUUGUUACUUAAACGAUCGUUUUCAACCUUCACAAGAAUCAAACACACGGAAACAUCUAUGACUGCUUAGUUGCGCACCUAACGUAAUUAAAUUUGCAACGAGUACUUUUUCUCAUUCAAUCGAAUUAGAGAGCAAAAGUUUAAUCUAUAUUGUUCCUUUAAUGGGCCAGUCCGGGAGGGUAAAUUGGAACGAAUCGUUGUCAACCCUUCACAAGAAACCAAAACCGGAACCAAUAUUAGACUACUCAGUUGCGCUCCUAACAGUAUAACUUCGCAACGAGUACUUUUUCUCAUUAAUCGAACAAAGAGUAAAAGCUAAUUAUCUUAAUCUUUAUGCCAGGAUUGUUAACUUUAGACGAAUCGCCUGUUCCAAUGUUCACACGAACAACAAGGCCGGAACAACAUUAGACUUACUCAGUUGCGCACCCUAACAUAUAACCUUUGCAACCAUACUUACAUCUCUCCCUCAUUCUAUCGAACAUAAGAGUAAAAGCUGAACUGAAUAUAUUGUUCUACUACUGCCUCAGGAGAGUGUAAAUUUGGAACGGGAUCGAAUGCACCUUCACAAGAAUCAAAACCGGGACAACAUUAGACAAGUCAGUUGUGCCUAAUUAGUAUAAAUGUUUGUACGAGUACUUUUUCUCAUUACAAAUCUAAAAAAGAGUAAAAUCUUAAUUAAUAUAUUCUUAUUAUGCCAGCGAGAGUGCUAAAUUUGGAACAAAAAUUAUGGUCCAACCUUCACAAGAACCAAAAAACCGGAACAACAUUUAGACACUCAGUUGCGCCCGUAACCGGAUAUACUUUGAACGAGUACUUUUUCUCAAUCAAUCGACAAAAGAGUAAAACCUAUAAUUAUAAUAUGAUUCUAUAUGGCCGCCGGAGAGUGUAAAUUUGGAACAAAUUUGAUGUCAAACCUGUUCACAAGAACAAAAACCGGAACAAAUUAGAAAACUCAGUUGCGCCAUAACAGUAUAAGCUUUGCAACGAAGUACUUUUUUCAAAAUCAAUCGAACAAAGAGUAAAAAGCUAAUUCUAUUGUUCUAUGUUAUGCACUUGAGAAUGUAAAUUCGGAACAAGCGAGUGUCGUAUUUUCAGAAGAUAGACAAACUGGAACCAACAGUAGUUGUCACUGCCCGAGACCGCUCCCGAAAUUUUUGGUCCGGUUCGCGGGGCACCGCGACAGCCGCCGAACGGACGCGUUUCCCCUGUCGCGGAACAGGAGAGCUCCCCUGGUACGUUCCUAGGGCGUCGCCAAUCCAAAACAAGUGUCACAUUACAAAAGAUUCCAGACCAGGGAACAGUACUCAGCAAACAGAAUUGCAAUCAGGAACGGUAUCAGAUCCAACAGUUAAAAACACAAUACCUAAUGAUAUUUACGACAGCAUUCACAUUACGAUGCACAUUCAUUACAUUCAACUUCCUGAAUACCAAUUAAGUUAUUAAACAUUUAUUUUUUACAGACAUUGAUAAUUUUGCUGUGCUUUUUUUCUAUACCUAAGCUAGUCGACGCCGGGGUGCUGGCGAGCUCUGGCCUCUGGGGUAGGGCGCCUAUCUAAUGGGAGUACGCCCUUGCCAUCGGCGCCGCCGCGCCGCUCACGUCGCGAACCUUUAAACCCCAAAGAACAGGCGUGGGGGUGGAACCAACUCCAUGGGGUUUCCCAGUGCGGUUAAGCCACCCGAAGGGAGGAGCGUCGAACAACAGGUCCAAGGGAAGGCAAAUACAAGUUAGGUCCAAUAAGACAGAUAGAUAAAUGUAUACUCAUAAUAUUCAUGCAACUAACUAUUACACUUGGCGUUGUUGCCUCACAACUGCAAUGAUGCAUGCUAUUACCUGGCAACCAGGAACGGUUGGAACGCUGCGCCUAGUGAGAUGAUUAUGUUGAUUCUGACGAUUCAAUCUCGCUAAUCUUAAGCUCAUGUCAUCCAACUCUAAGGUGUUCCCGCUAACUGCUAGGUUAACAAUCUACCACUAGCCUCAAGGUUCUAUUCUACCUUAUUCCGUCAAGCCACCCGACUCGCCUCGAGUCCAAUCAACAGGGAUAAAUCCGCGCUCUGGCCCGGGCUCGAGGUGAGCAGGAAUCCUGUCGCAUUGCACCUCAGCCUGCAAGCCAAAGAAAGCCACCAUCGGCCAACGGUCCGCUGCCGAAGGGUCCGUGCACCGUGGUCAGGGAUUCGCGCCAGUGGGAGAAGGAAACAUAGCCACGUACACCCAUAGCUCUGAGAUCCCCGACUAACGGGAGAGGAGGAAUAUGCCACGUUCCACCCUAGGCGCAUCUCCCUAUUCAUUGCUUAGUCUAUAUUCCUCAAGUAGUUCUUUCCGGUGGGAAAGAGGAACAUCGCGGCAUUACACCGCCGGUCCAGAACUAUAUGAGUUCACUCCGAGUACUGAGAUUCCGGAUAUCGACUCCACAAGUCCGCAAGGGUCCAUAUCCACGCCUAAUACUCAUUGAACCCUAUCUUCGGGUCCAAUGCACUUUCCACCUAGUUCCAACUGCACUCUAGGAUCUUAAUUGCCUCCAUUUCACAACUAGUUUACUUUAACUCUAGGUUCCAUUCGUCGACCUAAUGUCUCUUUAACCACUAGGUAGACUGCCUGAAGCACUGAGAAUCGCCGACUCUUAGGAUUCAUACUCAACCUAUGUUCUUUAACACUAGGUUAGGUGACCCACUCGUUAUUUUAUCCUAGUUUAAAUACUCUAGAUGUCGAUGUAUCUAUGCCGACCUUGAUGUUAUGUAACCACUAGGGUUAAUGCCAACUCGAUCUACUUGAUGUCCUUACUUGUACUUAUCAAGGUAUUCUACAGUUCAUCACUAAUUAAUAUUUAGUAUCAACUACCAUGCAUCAUCUUGCAGUUUUAUCACAUGGACAAUGCACUUCUUAACAUUAUGUAUUAUGUCUAUCAUGGCCUCUCCUAGCAUCAUGUACCAUGCAAUUCAGCUAGACAAUGAGUAUUCUACAGCAUACUUAAUAUUCCAUGUAUUAUGGCACUAUAUUUCUCAUUACGUCACUAUGCAUUAAUCUAUUAUUGGCCUCAUUUACAUUCAUUAUGCACUCAACGGCUGGAUUCUUAAUCAUCUUAGACAUAAAGGGCGACCUAGCGCAUCAUCGGUAAACACAACCCCACCUUAAACUUCGCCGUUCCGGAGCUUGCUCGUCGACCCACUUGCAAUCGGUCCCUCCGCGGCACUCGGCACCCGUUUGGGCCCGAGUCUCACAGAUUGCUUUCAAGAGCGGUCGCUUCGCCCGUUUCAAGUCGCUAACGAUCUUGGCCGUAGUAUGAUGCUCGGGACCCAAUUUCACAAAUUCAUGGAACGUCGCCUCGGAACCAUUCCAGGCGGGGGACAACCGAAGCUAGCCAAGCGUCCGUUCUUCAAUAUGCUUUGCAAGCAGGCUCGUUCGGCAUUGCCGAAUCGUCUGUUCGCCAACGUGUCUUGUUACGUAAUCAAUUAGGUUUACGAAGGGGUCAAUCUGAGAUCAAACCCCACCUAUUUCUUAAAACCCCUUUGGCCCUAGUUCGCGGACUACGGCAACAAUACCUCCACAAUAAAUCCGUAGAUUCAUGCAUGUAACUCUACUCAUAAGCCAUGCUAGGCAUCGCAUCUAAAACCAAUUUCUUAGAGCGUUUAACCGAAACACCUAAGAAAUCACAUUAAAAGCUUGCAGAAGCUUACUCGCUAACGCCUCCUCGCGAAGCACAAGGAAGGAAUGAAGAAGAUGGAAGCUCUUCCUCUUCUUUCUUCUUCUCUUCCUCCUCUCGUUCUUCUUCUUCUUCUUUUCUUCUAUUGUUAUGGAGGGAGAUAGGAGGUGGGCGGUUGGGGUUGAAAGGUGAGGCGACAAGACGAGGAGGCGAGAGAGGCUUCUUACUCCUCAUCUAUACAACUGUAACCCAUGCAACCGGGAUUGGCAGGAAAACCUCAACAGACAAGCCACUCUGCUGCAAACACGCGGAACUGGGCAGUUUCGGGGUUCGGAACGGUGUGCUACAUGAGGGCCGAGUCUCUGGUGAGAUCGGUCUCCCUACCUGGACCGCGGUCCCCAGAGAGACCUCCCAGCCGGAGGACUUGCCAGUUUGUAGCUUCGUCGGUUUUCGCUCCGUUCUGGCCCCGUUUUCGUUGGAUUGACCUCCGAUCUCGUCUUAAUCGAACCGAGACCUCUCCACACAAUGUUAUUCGCAAAGCAUGUUUUCCAUACUUAUCCAUCCUCGCUAAGCCGGAUGUUUGUAGCUCACAGGCCGAAUUUUAGCCCAUUAGUCGGGUUCCCGUUUCCGCGCCUACGCGCACCGAAACGCAUCGAUAGCUCACCGAACUUCCACCAACUUACACCGAAGCCAUUCAACAAUGGCUCUUACGAUCGAGAUGUACACCAUAAAGCUCAACUAGUUUUAGAAGUCGGUACUGUACAAGUAAGACAUUACACAGUUGCGCCCCUCUAAACAGUAUAAUUUGCAACGGAGUACUUUUCUCAUUCAAUCGAAUAAAAGAGUUAAACGCUAAUUCAUAUUGUUUCUAUUAUGACCCGAGAUUGCUAAUUUAGAGACGAGCCAUCGGAUGUCGAAGCGUUGUGAAGAAGAGCCAAAUCCGGAACAACAUUAACUCUCAGUUGCGACCUAACAGCGUAUAACUUCGGCAAAGAUACUUUUUCUCAUUCAAUCGAACAAGAAGAGUAAAGAAGCUACAUUAUAUUGGGUAUCUAGUUGUAUCCGGGGAGAGUGUUAAUUUUGAACGACGAUCGAUGUCAAUGUUGACGAAGAACAAAAUAGUAAACAUAUUAGACCUACUCAGUUCGCUCCUAACAGUUAUAACGUUGCAACGGGAGUAUACUUUUUCUCAUUCAAUCGAAAAAGGUAUAAAAGCUAUUAUAAUCGUUCUAUUAUGCCUCUGGAGUGUAAAUUUGGAACAAAUCGUUGUCAACCUUCACAAGACCCAAAACCGGAACAAACAUUAGACUUCUCAGUUGCGCCCUAACAGCAUAAAUUUGCAACGAAGUACUUUUUCUCAUUCAUCCGAACAAAGAGUUAAAAAGCUAUUAAAUUGUUCUAUUUGCCUCGAGAGUGUAAUUUGGAAAGAAUCCGAUGUCAACGUUGCAAGAACAAAAACCGGAACAACAUUGGGACUCACUCAGUUGGCCCUAACAGUAUAACUUUGCAACGAGUACUUUUCUUUCAUUCAAUCGAACAAAAGAGUAAAGCUAAUUAUUAUUUUUCCAUUAUGCUCGGAGAUUGUUAACUUAGAACCGAAUCGUUGUUCAACCUUCACAAGACAAGAACACGGAAAAAAUUAAGACUGCUUAGUUGGCCCUACAGUAUAACUUUCCAACCAGUACUUUUUCGACAUUCUAAUCGAACAAAGAGUAAAAAGCUAAUCGUAUAUAGUAUCUACUAAUUGCCAGAGGAGUGAUAAAUUUGGAACGCAAAUCGAUGUCACUAUUUACAAAAAUCAAACACCGCGGAACAACAUUAGACUACGUCAGUCUUGCCUUAAUCAAUAGUAUAGAAUUUGUUACGAGUAACUUUUUCUCAUUCAAGAUCGACAAAAAAAGAGUAAAACUAAUUAUAUUAUUCUAUUAUGCCACCGGGAGUGUUAAAUUUAGGAACAAAUCUGGGAUUGGACAGACCUCUCACAAGAACCAAAAACCCGGAACAACAGUUAGACACUUCAGUUGCCGCCUAAUAGCUAUAACUUUUGCAACGAUACUUUUUUCCUAACUCAGAAGAUCGAACAAAGAGUAAAACCUGAAUUAUAUGAUUCAUACUUAAUGCGCGAGAGUGUAAAUUGGAAACAAAUUGAUGUCAACCUUACACAAGGAACCAAAAUACGGACAACAUUUAGACCACUCAGUUAGCGCACCUAACAGAUAAUAACUUUGGCAACGAGUACUUUUUCUCAAUCAUGCGAACAAAGAAGUUAAAAGCUAAUUCUAUGUGUUCUACUUAUGCUCUGAGAAUGUAAAAUUAAGGAAGGAAGCGAUGUCUAUGUUCAGAAGAUAGAAAAACUGGAACCACCACACCAUUAAGUACCUCAGUUGCGCGCCUUACCGUAUAAAUUUGCAAAGCGAGUCGUUUUUCUGCUUCAAUCGAACAAAGAGUUAAACAUGUUCUAUUAUGCCCCUUGAGAGUGAUAAAUUUGGAACGAAUGAUGUCAACCUUUACAAAGACACCAAAACCCGUAACACAAUAGACUAUCAGUUGCGCCUAACAGUAUAACUUUGCAACGGUACCUUUUCUCAUAUCAACUGACAUAAAGAGUAAAGCUAUAAUAUUGUCUAUUCUGCCCCGAGAUUGCUAAUUAGAACGAAAUCGAUAGUCAACGUUGACAAGAACUCAAAAACAGGAACAACAUUGGAACUACUCAGUUGCGCCCUAACAGUAUAACUUUGCAACGAGUACCUUUUCUCGUUCAAUCGAACAAAGAGUAAAAGCUAAUUAUAUUGUUCUAUUAUGCCCCGAGAUUGUUAAUUUAGAACGAAUCGAUGUCAACGUUGAAAAGAACCAAAACCGGAACAACAUUAGACUACUCAGUUGCGCAUAAACAGUAUAACUUUACAACGAGUACUUUUUCUCAUUCAAUCGAACAAAGAGUAAAAGCUAAUUAUAUUGGUCUAUUAUGCCCCGAGCGUGUUAAUUUAGAACGAAUCGAUGUCAAU